Candoia aspera is the source of this 506-nucleotide long non-coding RNA. RefSeq lists it as uncharacterized. The transcript is spliced from 3 exons. The record is from RefSeq and is a predicted model, not a curated record. NCBI's taxonomy places the organism in Eukaryota, Metazoa, Chordata, Lepidosauria, Squamata, Candoiidae.
UACAGUUUUGUUCCUCCCCGGGAGGAAGGGAGGUCUACUCAUAGAAAUUAAUAGACACAUUUUAAAAGGUACGGUAUUUGGGUUGCACUAACUCUUCCGCAAAACCCGAAAAGUGAUUUUAAAAGUUUUAAACAUUAAGUCUCCCCAACAUCUUUGCAAGUCAACGGAGAACAAGAUUUCUGCAUGCAGCUGAGCUCUAGAAAUCAUCUGAACAAGGUCCAUACUUAGACUGACUGGCAUGACAGGGGUCUCCUCUGCUCCCCUAAAAUCAAGCAUCCACUCGCUCUGACCCCCUUGACUUCCAACUGUUAUUAUCAGACCAAUCUGAUUCUCCUUCAGUGAAUGUUGCUAAAUACUGCUCUAUUGUUUGUACAAUAUGCCACAAUAUUUCGUCAUAUAGUUCUUAGACACCUCCCAUCUGGCUCUGUCUAAACAACUUGCUAUGUGAAUUACUUGGGGGUGUGCAAUAAAUGUUACGUUAGGACUGGAGUGAUUCUUCAUUUAUU